GCAUGAGCUGCCACAUGCCCUGCUCCGGGGCGCUGGGGGGUUCCAUGCCAUAGGCUCCUAGCGAGAAGGGGCAGCAGAGGAAGGAGAAGGUGAAGCUAAAGAGCAAGAUCUGUCAUUAUCAGAACCCUUAUUCUGAAGCCACAGCCCAGUAUCCUGAAGUAUCUCCUGGAACUGGUUUCUUGUGAACGUACAACACUGGACUUGUGCCCCUCAUCAUCUUGGACUUACAUCUAGGGAUAACCCUGUGACACAGGAGAAGGAAGUGGAAGCAUUACUAAGAGGCAAAGAGGAAGAAAGGGCUGCAACAUGUUUUCAAGUGGAGAAACAAUGAAGAAAAAGCCCCAGGAAAAAUCAUCAAUCAUGGAUGAAUGAGGCACAAAAACUGCCAUUGCCUUCUAUGAUGAAAUGACUAGAUUUGCACAUGAAGAGAGGAGAAUGGAUGUCAUUUAAAUGGAUGAUAUCAUCAAGGCUUUCCACGUGGUCUCUUAUUGCAUCCUUAAGAUAAAAUUACAGUACUAUCAUCCAGAUAGAUGAAAAAGUGAAUAAUAAACAAUUUAAAAUAGUAGUGGCAAAUGGUUUGUACUCCACCGGAGGCUGGCUGCAAACAGAGUAGCAUAGUGGUCUGUAAAGGACAAACUUAUGACUUUCUGGAGUGAGCUUGGUAUGCCUCAAAGCCUUGCAGCAUAAGUAAGUCCAUCACCAUGACAACCAGUCAAAGGCUGAUAUCAGCAAGUAGGGUAUCCCAUCCUCCAGUGGGCUUUCCCAUCUUCUAAGACAGUCUCGACCACAAUUUAUUUUUUUUUACAAACAAAUUAUUUAGAACUUACUUGUUUAUGACUUUGAGACUGUGAAUCUGCAAACCUAGGAGGUAUAAAGGAAUGACUGAGAACAACACUGGAGGUCAUCUUUUAUUUCAUUAUCUUCUUGGUGGUAAUUGUUUCUGUUUGCUGUUUUGAGACUGUAGCAUCUGGACUAGCAUUAUCACAGUUCACCACCCCUCUUCCAGCAUUGUGGACCAAUACUGGAACUCCUCAAAACAGGACUUCUUUUUUGUGUUCAUAUUUCUGACUCUUGUUCUUUCUCUAUUUUCAUCUGUUUUCCCUUUUUCAUUCUUCUUCCUCCAUAAAAUUAAGAAAUUUCAAGGCUUAUUUUGGCUUCUUAAAAGCCAUAUCACUGGUACAGUUGUUAAGGUGUAAAGUUGUUAAGUAGUUGAAGGCUUAUUUUAGUCAAGGUAUAAAAGUGCUAAUAUUUUGGGGACGAUUGUGUGCCAAUAUUAUGGAGUAAAUAUAGUACAUAGAUUCUCAUUAAAACUGAUGUUUGUGUGCAGACCUUUGCUUAACAUUUUACCUUAAUCUAACCAGAGAUACUCAUUAAUCUAGUCACCUCUUCCUUCCCCUUGCAGGCAGGAUAUGACAAGAUCUACACUAAUUCAUGAUCCCUAUUGAUUACCUGGAAGAGAUGGAUAGCCUGCUUAUCAAGUCUGUAAAUUAUUUCAAAGUGAUCCAAAUUGUCAAUACGUGAGAAGCACUCAAAGUCAGAAAUUCCAGAUGAGGUGAGGAUCUUAGUGAUAGCAGCAAAGAUUAUUUGUUAUUGCAAUAGUGGGCGCACACCCCCUGUUGGUAGGGGAGGAGUUGCGCACCAGUCAGCGAAAUCCAUUCCGUUAUUUGCUCUAAGCCCGACGCAGGUAGUGCUCUCCUGGCUCUCACUCAUUGGUUGAGAGGUUGAGAGUCUCAGGCUCACUAUCUCCCCGAUGCUGUGGCUAUGAUACGUUUCAAUAUAAUGUGGUUACCAACCUGUUGGUUUUUUUGUUUUUUUUUUUUGGUUUUUGUUUUUGUUUUUUUAAUGUACUGUACCAUGAAACAGGAGGGCAAUUUUUCUUGGAGCAUGUUCACUCUGUCUUGUACUAUGCUCUCCCUCUGCCUGGCACAAUUGUCUUAUCUUGUUUCUGUAGUUAGUCCUACCCAUGUCAAAAUGCCCCACUAGUGGAAGAAAAACAAGCUACCCCUGUGAGUGCUCCCUGAAGUAGUGGAACUAAAACUGUGGAACUAAAGGUUCAGCAAAAGCCUACACUACACACAGGAAAUGUUAGCUCCAAAACAAAGACCAACAUUGCGUACUGAAAGUACUUGCUUUACUGCAAGAACACAAUCUACCUCUCAUAAAUAUACCUGGAGUCAAUGCAGAAAUUCAAGAGUGAGAAAGAUUGGAGAAAUAGGCCAGCAAGAACUGCAAGAAAGUUCAACAUGGGUAAAUGAUAUUUUUGGGUGAGCUAAGCCCUGCAGCAAUACAAGGUGGGGUCUAGGUGGUUCUGGAUCAGCUCUGUUGUUGAUAGGGCAGUGACCUUGCCAGUUAUCAAGUUUUGCAGAUGUUUGAGUUUGGUUGUAGGUAGGUGUUCCAUUUGGGCUCUGCAUCACGUGCUGGCCAUGUGGAUGCAGUGUGCAAGUGGAGAAAACCCUGGAGACAAUAAAAGCUGAAGGGAGCAAGUAGUUAGUGGGUUCAAGAGGAAAAGUGUACUUUGAAGAGGGGGAUGCCCUGCUGUUACUACUAAUUGAGUCGAUCUCUGACAUGUUCUUUCUCCUCCUACUUAGUGCUUCAUCCAUCUCUCAAGGAUUGGUAAGUAAUAUUGCACUUGCUUAAAGGAGCUUCUGUUUUAGCAUACCAGGGUUCAUACAGCAUUUGCUUAGAAGAUUCUGUGUGCCACUUACUAAGUGUGUACCUAUGUGUUUGUAUGUUGAAUAAAAUGUACAAUCCUAAGUACUGCCCUGAGUGCGUAGUUGCUUGCUUCUGCUUCUUAGAUAUCCUGCCCCUCAGAUCCGAACAUAUUACAAAACAUCCAUGAAUACAGAACUAUGACUAGUUCCUUCUAAAUAAGUUAACAAGCAUGAGGUGGUUGAGAUAUAUUUAUUAAACAUUAAUGACACAGUUAUUUAUCUAUAACCUCUUCCUACAGAUCCACUCAGUACCACUUAUCUAGGUGGCAUUGGAAGACAAUGGCUCCUGCCAGUGCAGGUAU
This is a long non-coding RNA of Coturnix japonica (Japanese quail), 3013 nucleotides long. RefSeq lists it as uncharacterized. Lineage: Eukaryota; Metazoa; Chordata; Aves; Galliformes; Phasianidae. The record is from RefSeq and is a predicted model, not a curated record.